Molecule: long non-coding RNA, 353 nt
Organism: Tachysurus fulvidraco (yellow catfish)
Lineage: Eukaryota; Metazoa; Chordata; Actinopteri; Siluriformes; Bagridae
Exons: 2
Source: RefSeq, a predicted model, not a curated record
UGAAGCUCAUGGACUGAAGAUGGUUUGAGCAUCCACCGAUUAAGUUAAUUAAUUAAGGCAUAUUUUUGUUUUUCUUGUUUGUUAGUUUUAAUCAUUCAACACUUCAAUUAAUAUUACUUUGUAGAACAUGUUAGGAACGUUUAAACUUGUCUUUACAUAAUCAUCUUUUGGACCGUUUGUAGCUUUGAACACCUCGUCUUGGAUACCAACAUCUAAAAUGUUAUUUUGCACUUUAGAUCUGUAAAAUCGAAUUGCCGCCAUUUUCAUCGUGGUGUGGUGUGGCGGGGGUUCGCGAGUUGUUGGAAGGAAGGAAGGAAAAAACGGGAUAUGGGAGGCAAAAAAAUCGAGAAGAA